Rhopalosiphum padi (bird cherry-oat aphid) is the source of this 1007-nucleotide long non-coding RNA. RefSeq lists it as uncharacterized. The transcript is spliced from 3 exons. The record is from RefSeq and is a predicted model, not a curated record. Lineage: Eukaryota; Metazoa; Arthropoda; Insecta; Hemiptera; Aphididae.
AUAAUAUUUAAAACAUAACAAAAUUGUUUUUUUUUAUUCAAACAUUUAACAAAACAUAUUUUAUUUUAUUUUUAAAUCAACAACAGAUUAAACUUAUAUUAUAUCAUAAAUAUUUUAGAAAAUAAUUUAACCAUUGUCAGCCUUAAAUUACACUAGUUUAACUAGGUAAAACAUAAUUUUCUUGUCGGUUUAAUGUUCUUGCUGAUUUUAAAUCUUUCCAAAGUAACAACAAACCAGCUACGGAGACCAAUCAACCAUUAAUAAAUUUCAUCCGGGUUUAUUGAAAUUUUUUAAAGUUGGUCUUCUUGAAUAAUUGAAGAUAUCAAAGAGUUUGUCCAUAUUUUCAAUAAAAUCUAUUGUUGUCUUUGAAGGAGGCUCCAAUUCGUUAUUAACAAGUAUUCAUAUUUCAUACCGGCUGCUACACUUAGACUGAAUACUUGUGCAGUCAAAAAAACCUUCAUUUUCUCAAAUGGUCCUGGAAAAAUGUGAGAAUAUGUUAAUUUUGGGGCUGCUCUUAAAUUGCAUUUGCUGUCUUAUUCAAAAAAUGAUAUAAGGUGACACACCAGUCACCACUUGUAAAAUAUUCCGGUCGCAAAUUAUCCCGGCAGUUUGGUAGUACAAAUUUCUUAUGCAGGUAGCGCCACCAUUCGCCGGUUUUUAUAUUGUGAAUACAUUGUUUUUAAUGUUAAAUAUCAAAAAUUAUAUACGUUUUUGUCGUUUUUGAUAUUAUUACUAAUAUUACUUCAAAAUUUAAAAUAUUAACCACGUAAGAAUUAUUUUUAAGUGAUUAUUCUAUUAAAUUAGGUAACAUUUAAAAUAGUUUAAAUUAAGGAAGUUUUAUUAAUUAGUUAUAUAUUUUAACAAUGAUAUGUACACAAUUUUAAGAGUUUUGACUGCUUCGCUAAAUUUUUUUGUUUUUAUUUUUUUCUCGUUUUGGGUUUUCUGCAUCACAUACAAAAAACAUUCUUGAUUGUAAAUAAAAAAUAAUAAUAUUUUUGUGUUCAUCA